GGAUUAGAGCGCGCGCUUGAUAAGCGUGAGGUCGGAAGUUCAAGUCUUCCCAGGCCCACCACACUCAUCGAGUGAGCAUUCGUCUUCUGGUUACGGGGCCAUAGCUCAGCUGGGAGAGCGCGUGCUUUGCAAGCAUGAGGUCGUCGGUUCGAUCCCGUCUGGCUCCACCAGAUGGUUUGAUCACCGACUACUCAUACCGUCGUCCGCGAAACAUCACUUCGCACUUACUAGUCCGGAUGGACAGUAAGCUGCGUGAUUUCUGACAUCGUAAAGAGGAGAUCGAUCCGAGUUGGAUCGGGCAACAAGUAAUUGUUGCGCGAUACUUCAUUAUCUCCGGAUCAUUUCGGCGCUCGUGCGUCUUCCAGGGUAGCUCACAAGGCUGCGUCUGAAGGACACGCGAGUUGUAAAUGAUCCUUUUAGGAAGCUUGACCGCCUCGCUAUCGGAACGAUCUUACGAAGCAAGCUGGUCUUUCUAAUCAUUGUCCGGCUGCAGAUAGCGUUCAUCGAGGGCGCGUGCCUUAGAGACUUAGGUUUCUUGGCAAUUCUGCAGACAACAUUCUGCCGAGUGUGUGGACAUUGAUAAUGAGAGCAAUCAAGUGCUUAAGGGUGUUCGGUGGAUGCCUUGGCGCUGAGAGGCGAUGAAGGACGUGCUACGCUGCGAUAAGCCGUGGGGAGCUGCGAAGAAGCUUUGAUCCAUGGAUUGCC
Molecule: unclassified non-coding RNA, 705 nt
Filed under: Bradyrhizobium sp.
Lineage: Bacteria; Pseudomonadati; Pseudomonadota; Alphaproteobacteria; Hyphomicrobiales; Nitrobacteraceae
Description: partial contains 16S-23S ribosomal RNA intergenic spacer and 23S ribosomal RNA
Rfam family: Bacterial large subunit ribosomal RNA (bases 591-705)
Source: RNAcentral